AAUAGAGUACCCGGGGUAGUCCACGCCCGUAAACGAUGGAUACUACGCGUGUUUGAGCGGCAGGGUUUGAGUGGCUAAGCGAAAGUGAUAAGUAUCCCACCUGGGGAGUACGGGCGCAAGCCUGAAACUCAAAGGAAUUGACGGGGGCCCGCACAAGCGGUGGAGCAUGUGGUUUAAUUCGAUGAUACGCGAGGAACCUUACCAGGGCUUAAAUGUAGAUUGACGUAUUUGGAAACAGAUAUUUCUUCGGACAAUUUACAAGGUGCUGCAUGGUUGUCGUCAGCUCGUGCCGUGAGGUGUCAGGUUAAGUCCUAUAACGAGCGCAACCCCUGUUGUUAGUUGCCAGCGAGUAAUGUUCGGGAACUCUAGCAAGACUGCCAGUGUAAACUGUGAGGAAGGUGGGGAUGACGUCAAAUCAUCACGGCCCUUACGUCCUGGGCCACACACGUGCUACAAUGGCCGGUACAGAGAGCAGCCACGUUAGCGAUAAGGAGCGAAUCUAUAAACGCGGUCACAGUUACGGAUCGGAGU
Molecule: ribosomal RNA, 531 nt
Filed under: uncultured bacterium
Lineage: Bacteria
Description: bacterial SSU rRNA
Rfam family: Bacterial small subunit ribosomal RNA
Source: RNAcentral